GAUGAAGAACGUAGCGAAAUGCGAUAAGUAAUGUGAAUUGCAGAAUUCAGUGAAUCAUCGAAUCUUUGAACGCACCUUGCGCUCCUUGGUAUUCCAAGGAGCAUGCCUGUUUGAGUAUCAUUAAAUUAUCAACUGUGCCAAUUUGGUUACAGAUUGGAUGUGGGAGAUUCUUUUUGCAGGCCUUUGACUUCUCUUUGAGAAAAAAAAUAAAAGGUCGGCUCUCCUGAAAUGUAUUAGCAGUGCCUUUGUUGGUUCAUUAGGUGUGAUAAAUUGUCUACAUCUUCGCAUGAUAACUUCAUUUGUAAAGGUCAUAUUGCUUCUAAAUUGUCUUUGAUUGGACGCAAAACAUAUAUAAUGUUUGACAAACUUGAUCUCAAAUCAGGCAGGACUACCCGCUGAACUUAAGCAUAUCAAUAAGCGGAGGA
This 425-nucleotide unclassified non-coding RNA is filed under the name soil metagenome. Its description in RNAcentral is "partial contains 5.8S ribosomal RNA, internal transcribed spacer 2, and large subunit ribosomal RNA". The stretch from base 1 to 120 matches the Rfam family "5.8S ribosomal RNA", at positions 35 to 154 of the family's 154-position model. The record is from RNAcentral.